UUACAUUCAUACCAAAAAAAAAUAAAAAAUUGACUAGUCUUUCUUCACACUUAUAAACAUUUUUUGUGCAUCUCUAGCACUUGUAAUCAAUCAAAUUCAUUGUAUUAUAGCAUAUUCAAACCCUAAACAACAUUAGACAAGCCAUUUACUGCCUCAAAGCAAUGGUUGUGGGUUUUUAUCUCAUUUGGGACCAAAUUUC
RNAcentral lists this long non-coding RNA (199 nucleotides) under Capsella rubella. Its description in RNAcentral is "long non-coding RNA (CRUB_LNC003811)". Lineage: Eukaryota; Viridiplantae; Streptophyta; Magnoliopsida; Brassicales; Brassicaceae. The record is from RNAcentral.